This 496-nucleotide ribosomal RNA is filed under the name uncultured bacterium. RNAcentral describes it as "partial 16S ribosomal RNA". It matches the Rfam family "Bacterial small subunit ribosomal RNA", at positions 28 to 506 of the family's 1533-position model. The record is from RNAcentral.
GAUGAACGCUGGCGGCGUGCCUAAUACAUGCAAGUCGAGCGAACGGACGAGAAGCUUGCUUCUCUGAUGUUAGCGGCGGACGGGUGAGUAACACGUGGAUAACCUACCUAUAAGACUGGGAUAACUUCGGGAAACCGUAGCUAAUACCGGAUAAUAUUUUGAACCGCAUGGUUCAAAAGUGAAAGACGGUCUUGCUGUCACUUAUAGAUGGAUCCGCGCUGCAUUAGCUAGUUGGUAAGGUAACGGCUUACCAAGGCAACGAUGCAUAGCCGACCUGAGAGGUUGAUCGGCCACACUGGAACUGAGACACGGUCCAGACUCCUACGGGAGGCAGCAGUAGGGAAUCUUCCGCAAUGGGCGAAAGCCUGACGGAGCCACGCCGCGUGAGUGAAGAAGGUCUGCGGAUCGUAAAGCCCUGUUAUUAGGGAAGAACAGAUGUGUAAGUAACUGUGCACAUCUUGACGGUACCUAAACAGAAAGCCCCGGCUAACUGCGU